GGGUGAAACCCAAAACACAAUGCAGAAAAUAACUCCCAAUAUCGGGGUGUCACUAUGUCAUGAGCGUCUAUACAUAGUCAGUCUAGAAAUGAAACGACUAUAACAACUUGGAUCUAAAUACAACGAAAGAAAUAGAUGAGGAAGGAGAAAACAAGGUCCGCGAACGCCAGGCAACAGCUACCUCACAAUCUCCAAUGGUCAGCUACAAGAACUAUCAACACCCUCCGCGUCCAGAAACUCCUGGAUCUGCACAUGAAGUGCAGUGUGUAGCGUGAGUACAACCAACUAAGUAAGUAACAAUAAUAAAUAAGGAACUGAAAGUUAGUGACGAGCUACACAGUUAUAGUUCAUUUUCAGUAAUCUCAGCAAGAAGUAGACAUGCUUUCAAAUCCGGCAAUUUAAGUCAAAUCAGUUUUAUACAUUUUCAAGUUCAAGUAAAAAUCGGAUAUAAAAUCUUUCAGAAAUUUCAAAACAAUGAUAGAUAACAACUAAGUGCAACAACAAAUGAAAGCAAGUACAACCUCUUAGGGAAACAGUCACUCAACUCUUCUCAACAACUCAAUCACUCGGCUCUCAGCCCUCAGCCCUCAGCACUCAAUAGGUACAUGCGCUCACUGGGGUGUACAAACUCUGGAGGGGCUCCUACAGCCCAAGCGUUAUAAUCCGCACGGACAACUCACGUGCUAUAAUAUCAUAUCAAGAUCCGCACGGACAACUCACAUGCUACAAUAUAAAUGUCUGGAUCCGCACGGACAACUCACGUGCUAUGGUAUCAAUAUCUCACCAUCAGUCCCUCGGCCUCACUCAGUCAUCAACCUCUCUAGUCUUUCGGGCUCUCAGAAAUCUGAAAAAUCAGCCCAAACAGCAAUAACAUGAUGUAUUAAUAAGAAUAACAGAGACUGAGAAAGAAGUUUCAGUCAGAUUGUUCAUGUUUAUGUUGCUGGUCCAACUAAUACAAGAGUAGAUGCCACGAUUGGAUAAAAUUAAAUUUUAACGCCUGUAGUUGAAUAUACAUAUUCCAUCUGGAAAUCCAUUGGGAAAAGAAGAAGAAGAAAACCAAGCUAAUCAUAAGAUAGAACACCAAGCUAAAUAUAGGAUGAUAAAUGCCAAAGCAAAAGAGAGAGAGGGGGCUAGCCUGAAAAUCAAACCAGCAUGGAAAGAGUUCUAAUUGUAUAGAAUGGUACUAUGUCUAAUAAAUAAGAGUAGAAGAAGGCAAACAUUCUUAAAGCACUUUGUAUUAAUUAUCCCAAACGUUAAAUAUAUGUAGAAUAGAUUAUUUGUACUCUGUGACAGUAAUUUUCAAAAUAUUACAGAAAGUAAGAAGCUCAUACUACUAACCGCUCAUAAAUUAUUUAGAUGAUCCAGAUUUUCUAGAGCUGAGCUGCACCAUUGCAUCUCUAAGAAAAAUUAGAGCUGCACCAUUUUGCACUCUAAGAAAAAUUAGAUCGUCCAAACUUGAAGCGAGAAAAUGACAGAGACAUUCUCAAAAAGUAUAUUAAUAUCCGCACAUCCAAGUAACAUCAAAUGAACAGAGGGCUAAUUUCACCAUAAUUUUUGAUAAAUAAAUAAUCCUGUAAGAGUUUCAUUAUUCUUCAAUCACUUGAGGACAAAAAACAGAAAAGGAGUUAUCACUUAUCACAUGCCAUUUAUCCUUCAGAUUAGACUAUGAUAUACUUUUCUUCGUUUCAGUUUGCAGGUAAACUUUUACCUUAAAAAAUAGUCAUCUCCCUUUUAAGUUCUGUUUUUUGCUAAUCUCUAGGAUAAUAUGUACCCACGAACUUCUAUUACCAAAACCUCAAGGGUAAUAUAUCCAAAACCUAACUACAGGAAUCCAAAAGACAUGAAAAUCUAUUAAGUGAUCAAAAACAUAAGAGCCAGCAAAGCUGAUAAGUUCAGCUUUAUACUAAUUAUAAAUGAUAAAUAAAAGCAUUGGAAGCAAUUCUACUUCACAUAAAACCAUGAAUCAACCAGUCAGGUUCCUUAUAUCGUUGUGUAUUUAGCCAAAUUUAGGGAACUAAACAACAGUUUGCUUCUCUACGAUCAUCAACCUUGUCGUAGAAACAUCAUAAGAAAAUUUUGUUAAGGGUUCACCAAAUGAAGCCUUUCUGCUGUGGAUCGUUGAUUUCAUUGAAUUGCUCUUUGUUUCUGGGAAAAUGAUAUGUUAACCUGAAUAUAAGCUAUUACAAUGGAACAUAAGACUUUUUCUUUUGCUUAGGUCAAGAACAUUAGAAUAAAACUUUAGUCCGUAGUCUUAUAUAUUCUACAAUGUCUAAAAAAAUCAGAUAACAUGAUAAGUACCACAAUCUGGCUGAUAACUGAAAAAAACAACAUAAUAUAAUUUGAAUUAUCGUAAUCCCACGAGCACAGUAGCUAGAAAAAAAGAUGUAUGUAGAGGUGACAAACACAAAAACAAGUUUUAGUGUAAAGUUUUUUCAGGUGAAUAUUUUUUCCAGAUAAGACAAUGCAAUAAAGUUGUUUUUAAAUGUUAUGCCGGAUACAAAGAGUACUUGUAUACUGGUUAUGACUGCUUAAAUACAUAACCGAGAAGUAAUGAGAUUAUCGCUAAAAAUACACUCAAGGAUCCUUGAACCACUAAUCAUCAUUGCAAGAACCUAGGGAGUUCCUACUCGAAGAGCAAUCACAUUGAAGAAAACCAAAUUAAUAAGGCAACCAAUUGUGCUCAUCUUUAAAGUAUUCUAAAAAAAAUAAUGACAGAGAGCAACAUACUUAAAGAGAUGUCCAAGAAAACAAAAUCAUCAAAGACAUAAAAGCAUGAUUGGAGGAGACCAGAGAAUAAUGUCAGCUGUGGACGGAAAAAAUAUAGAAAAGCAAUUUGGUAUUUGGUUUUCCAUAUGCCCAUUUCCUCUUCCAGAGGAUUAUGAGACAUUUGUGCAAGAAUUCCAGUAAAGCGUUUCUAAUUUUGGGUUUGAUUCUUUUGACUUGUUUGAGAUAAUUCUUUAUUUCUUUUUCCUCAUUUGAAUCUCACUGAAUUUGAAAUCUAAUUAAGCUCUAAUUCGUUAACAUGUAUAUCUUCAAUCCAUCAAGCAUCAAGUGGUAAGAAGUGCAACGUAUUUUUAGAAAUUAUAUCCAAGCAAAAUUUAAGAAUUCAAAUUCUAGAGUUAGCCAUAUAGAUCAAAUAGUAGGAAGCCAUAUUUGAAGAGCUCUGUUUCUUAAAAAGUAUAGUCAAGGAGAAAAAUAUUUGACCAACUAUAUAUUAAAAUACAGAAAAGACUUCUCAAACAUUCAAGAUAAGCAACACCACGUGAAAGUGUUCCUGUGGCAUCAAGAAAAUGAAGCCCGACAUUAAGGUCCGCUUGGACCUCCAAAAAUUUUCCCUCUUCUCAAAAUCAAAAAUUUAGUUUUCAUUUCACCAAAAUAACCUGUGAGUAAAUCAGGCAAGUGGCAUCAUCGUCCAAAUGGAUAGUUGUAAAGAAACAAUCUAAUUCAGCAACUCAAGAAAAUAUGAUUAGGAUCUGCAUUUUGUUUAACAAUAUGAAAAAAAAGAAGAAGGAAUCAUGUGCUGAUUGAAUUGAAAAUAAAAAUAUCUAAUGAGCAUGAAGUUAGACAUAGCACACAGUGUGCUCUGACCUUCAAUCAUGUUUGGCAACUUCUUAUAUCUCUAAAAAAACAUAUGUAUUUGUGCAUCUACAAAUGUUAAAUUUCAUAAAAUCAUAUACACAUUAAAAAGAUACAUGUAGAAAUGUAAUUCAAUAUCAAUUAAAAUUUACUAAGCGCUAACUGACAAAAAAAUGAGGAGCAUACUAUGUGGAAACUGCCAUCACCUUGGCAAUCAAACUACUAUUUUUUUUCUGGGAAAACAUCUAAGGUGUAAUAGUACCAAAAACACCAAGAUGAAUCACAAAAGAUCAUAAAAUGGUACAUUACUCAUAUAAAGGAUAAGCAUAACAGUGUCUAUGUGUGAGAUGACCUCUUACUCUCUUAGCAAGAGCAAUUGUAAGUCGAUAUGGUAAAACAACUUGGCGACACACUUAUAAAAACAACUGUCUGUGUAAGAAGCACUUGCCCGGAUCCACCUCAAUACUUCAACAGAUGAAUCUCUCUGCAUUUAAAUGCUUCCUGAAAUGUCCAGAAAUUUUCCUACAAAAACAAAUGAUGGCAUCAUCCCUAAUUCCAAGGCCAUUAGACAAUCUCCAAUGCAAAGAAAAUGGAGAGAAAUCCGAACAUAUUGCACGAAAAGAGCAAGAAACCAAAAGAACCCACCAAAAGUUUUCCUACAACAUAGACACAGAAGUAAGCACAUAUAAAGUCAACAAAACAUAAUGCACAAUAUAUUGUUCAAUAAUUCUGUUACUGGAAAAAAGUAAUGUACUACUGAAUGAAGAUUGUUUAUAUUAUAGAACCCCUACAGAAGAAGAAUAGAGUAUAAAAUUAUUCAGCACUUUCAGGCAUAUAGUCAAACACCAUUGCUGCAUUAAAGUUCUUCACCUUCCAUUACUCUAUUUGUUUCUGAUAGCAAUUCAAAAUCUAGAAUGAAAAAGUAACCACAUGCAUGUUCAAAGUCCACCUAGAAAGCAUGGAGAAAGAGGAAAACCAAACAUAUAAAUAUAAAUCAAUUCAAAAUCAUACAUGUUGUACCAAAAAGAAAAAUAAAGAAAAAAAUACAAAAAGAAUUUCAUUGGCAAAUGAAGAUUAAUAGUCUUUAAAAAUAGAAUCAAAGAUUUACAUACUUACCACGAAAGAAUAGAGGAAAACUAAGCAGAACUCAGAAAUUUCUCUUGCACCGUGUUUAGGCUCUCUGAUUGUAUCUCGCUAAUCAGAAAUUCAGGAUGCGCGUGUGUUUUGGAGAGAGAACACUACACAAAGAACAUGGAACACGGAUUACAAGCAAAUCCAAUAAGAAAUACAUAAACUCAGAGGAAUAAUUGAACAACAUAAGCUAAACAAGAUAUUCACCGGAACGCUAUUGAACUUAAC
This 4935-nucleotide long non-coding RNA is filed under the name Nicotiana tabacum (common tobacco). RNAcentral's name for it is "long non-coding RNA (NTAB_LNC004520)". The record is from RNAcentral. Lineage: Eukaryota; Viridiplantae; Streptophyta; Magnoliopsida; Solanales; Solanaceae.